This 451-nucleotide ribosomal RNA is filed under the name uncultured bacterium. RNAcentral describes it as "bacterial SSU rRNA". It matches the Rfam family "Bacterial small subunit ribosomal RNA", at positions 28 to 481 of the family's 1533-position model. The record is from RNAcentral.
GACGAACGCUGGCGGCAUGCCUAACACAUGCAAGUCGAACGGAGAACUCCUUCGGGGGUUCUUAGUGGCGAACGGGUGAGUAACGCGUAGGCAACCUGCCCUUUGGAUGGGGGACAACAUUCCGAAAGGAGUGCUAAUACCGAAUGUGACGAUUUUACCGCAUGGUUUAAUCGUGAAAGAUGGCCUCUACAUGUAAGCUAUCGCCAAAGGAUGGGCCUGCGUCUGAUUAGCUAGUUGGUGGGGUAACGGCUCACCAAGGCGACGAUCAGUAGCCGGUCUGAGAGGAUGAACGGCCACAUUGGGACUGAGAUACGGCCCAGACUCCUACGGGAGGCAGCAGUGGGGAAUAUUGGGCAAUGGGGGAAACCCUGACCCAGCAACGCCGCGUGAAGGAAGAAGGCCCUUCGGGUUGUAAACUCUUUUACCAGGACGAAGAACGUGACGGUACCGU